GGAUGUGCUCGGUGAGUGUCUCUGGCCAUCAUCUCCUUGACGGGGUCUUGGUUUGAUCUGAGCCACGGCAUGAUCAGGGGCAGGUGCUGCUCAGAUCCUGCCUCCAGAGUGUCCCUGUGUGGCUGGAGUUGACCCUGGCUGUAGAGUAGGAAGAUCGGACUUGGUCGGCUUGGUCAGGCCUCUGGAGACACCCGGCCGCUCUUCCACCUUCCUUCAGCCAGUUUCCACGUCUCUGGUGCUUAGAGAUACCUGAGGGAGGCAGCCAGCCCGGUAAGCUGGGAGCUGGCGCCCUUGGCGCGUCCCAUCCCCAAAGAGCUCCCAGACCCCUGACCCCCUUCUGAUCCUAGGUAUCACCAGAGGGUGCUGUAUAUUGACAUUGAUAUUCACCAUGGUGACGGCGUGGAAGAGGCCUUCUAUACCACGGACCGGGUCAUGACUGUGUCCUUUCAUAAGUAUGGAGAGUACUUCCCAGGAACUGGGGACCUACGGGAUAUCGGGGCUGGCAAAGGCAAGUAUUAUGCUGUUAACUACCCACUCCGAGACGGGAUUGAUGACGAGUCCUAUGAGGCCAUUUUCAAGCCGGUCAUGUCGAAAGUAAUGGAGAUGUUCCAGCCUAGUGCGGUGGUCUUACAGUGUGGCUCCGACUCCCUAUCUGGGGAUCGGUUAGGUUGCUUCAAUCUAACUAUCAAAGGGCACGCCAAGUGUGUGGAAUUUGUCAAGAGCUUUAACCUGCCUAUGCUGAUGCUGGGAGGCGGUGGUUACACCAUUCGUAAUGUUGCCCGGUGCUGGACGUACGAGACAGCUGUGGCCCUGGAUACGGAGAUCCCUAAUGAGCUUCCAUACAACGACUACUUUGAAUAUUUUGGACCAGAUUUCAAGCUCCACAUCAGUCCUUCCAACAUGACCAACCAGAACACGAAUGAGUACCUGGAGAAGAUCAAACAGCGACUGUUUGAGAACCUUAGAAUGCUGCCGCACGCACCCGGGGUCCAAAUGCAGGCGAUUCCUGAGGACGCCAUCCCUGAGGAGAGUGGCGAUGAGGACGAA
Molecule: small RNA, 1047 nt
Filed under: Pongo abelii (Sumatran orangutan)
Lineage: Eukaryota; Metazoa; Chordata; Mammalia; Primates; Hominidae
Description: processed transcript
Source: RNAcentral